Long non-coding RNA from Hipposideros armiger (great roundleaf bat), 2097 nucleotides. RefSeq lists it as uncharacterized. The transcript has 4 exons. NCBI's taxonomy places the organism in Eukaryota, Metazoa, Chordata, Mammalia, Chiroptera, Hipposideridae. The record is from RefSeq and is a predicted model, not a curated record.
UGAAGUGGGUAUUUGUAUGUAAAUACAGAAUUUACCAAAGCAGCAGCGCAGAAGCUCGGGGCUCUAAUAAUGCUCUAAAUAGCCCUCCUUGAUUCCCUGAAUCCCCUAAGAGAGAGCUGCAGCUAUGCUCAGUGGGGUGGAACUUUUUUUGUCUUACUCAGCAGGUUACAAAGUCUUGGGAAGAAGUAGGUAGAGGAGUUUUAGGAUUAUGGGACCUGGUCGUCUUGUGUAUUAAAAAAAAAAGACAUUUAUUGAACACGUGCUAUAAAUUAAUGACUAUAUUCUGACUGCAAUGUCAGGAGCGAUAAUCAUCUCCAUUUUAUAGAUGAGCAAACUGAUUUAGAGAUUAACUAACAAUCAUAGCAAUUGCUAUGGAUGGUUGAACACUUUUUAGGUGCCACACACGGAACUUUACCAUGCAUGCUUUCUAAUCCGCCUAGCAACUCUAUGAGGUAGGUACCAUUUUCUUGUCUAUUUUUGAGAUGGGAAACUGAGGCUUGGAGAGGUUAAAUGACUUAGUCAAGGUACUUUGAUGGCAGAGUUGAUACAGGAAUCCAAAUGAGGUAGAAUUUUGGCAUAUGUUUUGGAGCAGCUGUUCAAAUGUGCUAAAACAGCUCACUCAACUCAAAUAUGCAUUGUUUUAAAUUCCUGCUGCUCUGUGGUUUAGUAUAAGCUUCCAUAAAGAAUAUUUACAGAGGAGAAGACGUGUGAGUGAACCCUGUGGGGCUUAACGAGAUGAAAGGAAGGUAGAUAGAUGGAUGAUAGGGCAGAACAAGGUGCUGUGGCCAGUGCCCCUUCCUGGUUUUAGGGUGAAGGAGGGCUAACGUUCAAAGGGUCACAGGGGUCACUGCCGAGUCUUUCUUUUCCUUUGGAGGUGUCUUUCCUUUCUACCCUGCACCUUCAGGAUCCUGCAGCAGAGUCACCCCUUUGUAGCUCAUAGGGGGACCGAACAGGAGGCCCGAAUUCCACUGCCACUGCCUUCUGCUACUUGUUCCAUGUCUCGGGGGCAAAGAGAAGCCACCCAUGGGAUGAGAUACGCUGUGGAUGUGGAGUCAGAAAUCCUGGGUUUGACUUCUGCCUGUUCUGGUCCUUUCCUUGUGUGAUCUUGAAUAAGUCCUUUACUAUAUUUAAGCAUCAGUUUCCUUAUCCAUAGAAUGUAGAUACCUCUUGUCCUAACUUAUGCAUUACUAUGUGAAAUCAUGUUGAAGAAAGCGUAAGCUCCUACACAAGUAAGAACCCAUUUCUGGACUGCAGCAGGGGCUUGCUGCAGGGUAAAGCACAUGGGCUCCGCCAUCAAAUCCAGGCUGCCGUUUAUAAGCUGUGUGGCCUCGGACAAGUUACUUAUCCUGCCUGUCUUUGUUUCUGCAUCUGUUAAAUGGGGGUAACGAUAGUUGCUACUGAUAAAGUUACUGUAAGGAAUAAAUAAUUCUUCUGCAGUGCUUACUUUGGUAUCUGGCACAUUGUAAAUGUUCAAUAUGAUUUUUAUUGAUUCACAGAGAACUGGUUGAUGUAGGCUCUAUGAUGGGGGACGAAUGUGAGCUUCUAGAGGCUCCUUUGUGCUUUGUGCUUGAACCUGUAAGGACCACACUCUCACACCUAGAGGAGCAUCACAGGACUCUCAGGACCAGCGCUGUGCUCCUCAUUGAAGUUUAAUUCUUCAUAAGGAGAAGUCUGCAAGGAGCAAGGGCUGAAGGCAGUGGUGAGAAGGUCCUGCAUUUUAAGAGGGACAUUAACAGGUUGGAGCAGGUCCAGGAAGGAACAACUGGGCUGGUUCCUUCUGCAGCCCACUGACUUCUCCCAGGUGAUCAGGGAAGGGAUGGGACUUUUGAAGAGGUUGAUGGCUCCCUGAUGCAUGUGAGGAAAGAAUAUUCCCUAACAAAUACUAAGGGAAGAGGCUUCCUUAAGGAGAUGGCGAGUUUCUUGUCGCUGGAACUGUUCACGCGUACAGGCUGAGCUCUCCGUAGCAGGCGAUGCGGUGAACCGGCUUAGGAGUGGGUUAGAACUGUGACCUGACUCCUUAUUUGUAUGACCUUGAAAGUUGCUUACCCUCUCUGAGGUUCAGUUUCUUCAUCUGCAAACUAGCAAUACUUCACUCUA